This 433-nucleotide ribosomal RNA is filed under the name uncultured bacterium. RNAcentral describes it as "partial 16S ribosomal RNA". It matches the Rfam family "Bacterial small subunit ribosomal RNA", at positions 29 to 507 of the family's 1533-position model. The record is from RNAcentral.
AACGAACGCUGGCGGCAGGCCUAACACAUGCAAGUCGAGCGCGCCCUUCGGGGUGAGCGGCGGACGGGGGCGUAACGCGUGGGAACGUGCCCUUUUCUACGGAAUAGCCUCGGGAAACUGAGAGUAAUACCGUAUACGCCCUUUGGGGGAAAGCGUUAUCGGAAAAGGAUCGGCCCGCGUUGGAUUAGGUAGUUGGUGGGGUAAUGGCCUACCAAGCCGACGAUCCAUAGCUGGUUUGAGAGGAUGCUCAGCCACACUGGGACUGAGACCCGGCCCAGACUCCUACGGGAGGCAGCAGUUGGGAAUCUUAGACAAUGGGGGCAACCCUGAUCUAGCCAUGCCGCGUGAGUGAUGAAGGCCUUAGGGUUGUAAAGCUCUUUCAGCUGGGAAGAUAAUGACGGUACCAGCAGAAGAAGCCCCGGCUAACUCCGUG